RNAcentral lists this ribosomal RNA (1954 nucleotides) under metagenome. Its description in RNAcentral is "bacterial LSU rRNA". It matches the Rfam family "Bacterial large subunit ribosomal RNA", at positions 1 to 1977 of the family's 2925-position model. The record is from RNAcentral.
GAAAGUAAACAAGGGCGCAUGGAGGAUGCCUAGGCUCUCGGAGGCGAAGAAGGACGUGAUAAGCUGCGAAAAGUUACGGUAAGGCGCAAAUAGCCGUAGACCCGUAAAUAUCCGAAUGGGGCAACCCGGCCAGCAAUGGCCAUACCGCCAAGCGGUAAGCCAACGCGGGGAACUGAAACAUCUAAGUACCCGCAGGAAAAGAAAAUAACAAUGAUUCCGCCAGUAGUGGCGAGCGAACGCGGAACAGCCCAAACCACCCGUGUUACGGCACGGGUGGGGUAGAAGGAUCCACGACACGGCAAGAAAUAAGUUAGCGGAAUACGAUGGAAAUCGUAGCCAGAGACGGUGACAGCCCGGUACGCGAAAACUGACAGAAGCCCAGUGGACACCUGAGUAACCCAGGACACGAGAAAUCCGGGGCGAAUCAGCGGGGCCCAUCCCGUAAGGCUAAAUACUCCCGAGAGACCGAUAGCGAACCAGUACUGUGAAGGAAAGGUGAAAAGAACCUCGAACAGAGGAGUGAAACAGACCCUGAAACCAUGCGCCUACAAGCGGUCGGAGCAUGUUAAAGUGUGACGGCGUGCCUUUUGCAUAAUGAACCUACGAGUUACUCUCGCUGGCAAGGUUAAGCGAUUCAGUCGCGCAGCCGAAGCGAAAGCAAGUCCGAACAAGGCGUACAGUCAGCGGGAGUAGACGCGAAACCAAGUGAUCUACCCUUGGUCAGGUUGAAGGUUGGGUAACACCAACUGGAGGACCGCACCGAUAAGCGUUGAAAAGCUUACGGAUGAACUGAGGGUAGGAGUGAAAGGCCAAUCAAACUUGGAGAUAGCUCGUACUCCCCGAAAUGCAUUUAGGUGCAGCCUCGAAGCAGAGUGAUAGAGGUAGAGCGACUGAUAAGAUGCGAGGGCUUCACCGCCUAUCAAGUCUUGACAAACUCCGAAUACUAUCACUUGGUCUUCGGGAGUGAGGGCAUGGGUGCUAAGGUCCAUGUCCGAAAGAGGAACAACUCAGACCACCGGCUAAGGUCCCGAAAUAAGGGCUAAGUUGAACAAACGAAGUAAAACUGCAAAGACAGCUAGGAUGUUGGCUUGGAAGCAGCCAUUCAUUUAAAGAGUGCGUAACAGCUCACUAGUCGAGCGGUCCUGCAUGGAUAAUACGCGGGCAUAAGCAUAUAACCGAAGCUAUGGGAUUGUAGAUGAUACAAUCGGUAGGAGAGCAUUCCAUUCAGCAUAGAAGCAGUAUCGUGAGGUAUUGUGGAGCGGAUGGAAAAGCAAAUGUAGGCAUAAGUAACGAUAAUGCGGGUGAGAACCCCGCACGCCGAAAGAUCAAGGAUUCCCCGGCAAUGUCAAUCAUCCGGGGGUAAGUCGGAUCCUAAGGGUAAGCCGAGUGGCGAUCCCGAUGGUAAACAGGUUAAUAUUCCUGUACUGAUCAUAACUGCGAUGCAGCGACGCAGAGGUGACACUGCUGCGUACUGACGGAAUAGUACGUUGAAACCCGUAUUCUUUGAUACCGGUAGUGAAGCACGCCGGUAGAGAUGAAAGGUGAUAGUACCGCAAUGCUUCGGUUGCGCGGAUAAUGCAGGUAAGCUGACUGCCAAGAAAACCUGCUAAGCUUCAGGUAAUGAUCAUCCGUACUGUAAACGGACACACGUGAUCAGGUAGAAAAUACUAAGGCGCUCGAGAGAUUCAUGGUUAAGGAACUAGGCAAAAUGGUCCUGUAACUUCGGGAUAAAGGACGCUCUUGUGAAAGAGCCGCAGAUAAUAGGCCCAGGCGACUGUUUACCAAAAACACAUGGCUAUGCUAAUUCGCAAGAAGAUGUAUAUGGCCUGACACCUGCCCGGUGCCGGAAGGUUAAGAGGAGAGCUCAGAGGUAACUCGAAGGUUUGAAUUGAAGCCCCGGUAAACGGCGGCCGUAACUAUAACGGUCCUAAGGUAGCGAAAUUCCUUGUCGGGU